RNAcentral lists this ribosomal RNA (418 nucleotides) under uncultured bacterium. RNAcentral's name for it is "bacterial SSU rRNA". It matches the Rfam family "Bacterial small subunit ribosomal RNA", at positions 30 to 453 of the family's 1533-position model. The record is from RNAcentral.
AUUGAACGCUGGCGGUAUGCUUAACACAUGCAAGUCGAACGGUAACAGGCCUUCGGGCGCUGACGAGUGGCGGACGGGUGAGUAACGCGUAGGAAUCUGCCUCAUAGUGGGGACAACGUGGGGAAACUCACGCUAAUACCGCAUACGCCCUACGGGGGAAAGCGGGGGAUCUUCGGACCUCGCGCUAUGAGAUGAGCCUGCGUUAGAUUAGCUAGUUGGUAGGGUAAAGGCCUACCAAGGCGACGAUCUAUAGCUGGUCUGAGAGGACGAUCAGCCACACUGGGACUGAGACACGGCCCAGACUCCUACGGGAGGCAGCAGUGGGGAAUAUUGGACAAUGGGCGCAAGCCUGAUCCAGCAAUACCGCGUGUGUGAAGAAGGCCCUAGGUGUAAAGCACUUUCAAUUGGGAGGAAAACC